Molecule: ribosomal RNA, 484 nt
Filed under: uncultured bacterium
Lineage: Bacteria
Description: partial 16S ribosomal RNA
Rfam family: Bacterial small subunit ribosomal RNA
Source: RNAcentral
GACGAACGCUGGCGGCGUGCUUAACACAUGCAAGUCGAACGAUGAUGCUGGAGCUUGCUCCAGUUGAUUAGUGGCGAACGGGUGAGUAACACGUGAGCAAUCUGCCCUUGACUCUGGGAUAACUGCGGGAAACUGUAGCUAAUACCGGAUACUUUCACCGGAAGGCAUCUUUUGGUGAUGAAAGAAUUUCGGUCAGGGAUGGGCUCGCGGCCUAUCAGCUUGUUGGUGAGGUAACGGCACACCAAGGCGACGACGGGUAACCGGCCUGAGAGGGUGACCGGUCACACUGGGACUGAGACACGGCCCAGACUCCUACGGGAGGCAGCAGUGGGGAAUAUUGCACAAUGGGCGCAAGCCUGAUGCAGCAACGCCGCGUGAGGGAUGAAGGCCUUCGGGUUGUAAACCUCUUUUAGCAGGGAAGAAGCGAAAGUGACGGUACCUGCAGAAAAAGCACCGGCUAACUACGUGCCAGCCGCCGCCGUAA